AACGAACGCUGGCGGCAUGCCUAACACAUGCAAGUCGAACGAGACCUCCGGGUCUAGUGGCGCACGGGUGCGUAACGCGUGGGAACCUGCCCUUAGGUUCGGAAUAACUCCCCGAAAGGGGUGCUAAUACCGGAUAAUGUCUUCUGACCAAAGAUUUAUCGUCCUUGGAUGGGCCCGCGUUGGAUUAGCCUGUUGGUAGUGUAAAAGCCUACCAAGGCGACGAUCCAUAGCUGGUCUGAGAGGAUGAGCAGCCACACUGAGAGUGAGACACGGCGCAGACUCCUGCGCGAAGGAGCAGUGGGUAAUAUUGGACUAUGGGCGAAAGCAUGAUCCCGCACGGGCUCGUGAGUGAUGAAGUCGGUAGGGUUGUAAAGCUCUUUUACCCGGGAUGAUAAUGACGGUACCGGAAGAAUAAGCUCCGGCUAACUCCGUG
RNAcentral lists this ribosomal RNA (433 nucleotides) under uncultured bacterium. Its description in RNAcentral is "partial 16S ribosomal RNA". It matches the Rfam family "Bacterial small subunit ribosomal RNA", at positions 29 to 507 of the family's 1533-position model. The record is from RNAcentral.